Molecule: long non-coding RNA, 1891 nt
Organism: Apodemus sylvaticus (European woodmouse)
Lineage: Eukaryota; Metazoa; Chordata; Mammalia; Rodentia; Muridae
Exons: 3
Source: RefSeq, a predicted model, not a curated record
UCGAGUCGAAAAAUCGGUUAUCACAUGAAAUCUAGCAAGAGAACGAGGGGCGUGUGCCUGUGAAGGGGCGCCUAAACCCGAGAGGGGGCAGGGCGGACGAGGGACCCUCGACUGUGCGCCUGGGCAGCGGGGGCGAGAGACUGAACUGACCCCACGCGUGGUUGCGGGCAGGGCAGAGAUCACUCACUCGGAGGACCCCGAUCCCGCACUUGUGCAUUCCGGCUCAGGCAAGGAGCGCACGCACGCCACGGCCGCGGCUCUCACAGGCCCCCCGAGGAAUUGCGGGGGUGGGGGCGUGAGCCAAGAGUCGAGCGGCAGACACGUUUCUUUCUCUCCCGGGAGCUGGGAAGAAGGCCAGCCCCGUGUGCCACACGCCAGGCUUCUGCGCUGCAGCUUGCUGGUGAGCAGGGCCGCGCACGAUUCGUGUCAACAUUUCUUCCCUUGCUGACUUGGCUAGGAGGCUGCAGCACCAGAGGCGCUUGAGGACGGGCGCGGAAGCCCUGGAGCGCUUGGCCCGAUUGACAGCCCACCGCCCACCUUCUUUCUGCCUGGAUUCGAUGGGUCUAGCAACACCUGGGGCAUCUCGUCUCGCCCCUCCUCCAACCCAGACGGAUUCCUGUCUGGGCUUCAGGGUUCCAGAACUUCUAAUCUUAUGUACAGAACUGGCUGAGAGGAAGACUGACAGCGGGAGAUGUACAGUUCUCAGGCAAAUGAGAUCAAUGUGAAGAUGGCAUACUGUUUACCGGUAACGUCGAUGGGCCAUGAGCUGUGUGAGCAAGUUCCAGGCUCUGGGCCAGCCGAUGCCAACCUAGAUGACGGACUCCAUCUUACGGCUCUGUGAGCAGACUGCGAUGCGGAGCAAGCACCAUUCAACGGGAACAAAUUUAUCCUAAAAUAUUUGUGAAAACAUCUGUGAAAACAGAUGAUGGAGGGAGUCCAGGCAAAGGAACAGGUUCUACGGAGACAGAGGAGCGUGACCUGACGAUUCGCCCUCGUGGGUUUUCACUCUGAUCCGCACGCACUUCACUGCUAUGGAGUGAAGGUGACAAUCAGUCUCUCCAGAACAAAGCUAACGGCUGUCGCAGGCUUUGGGAAGAAUGUAGUUUGUGUGAGAACCUGUAGAACAAUGAGCUAGAACUCACUGUCUCGGGAUCCGAGAUGGCCAGGAUGAGGCUUCCCCAGGUUCACACCUGACGCACUGCGGCUGUGGUCGUACGGCAGUGCUCACGCUCAUGUUAGGCUUAUAUCUUCUCAAAACUAGGAAACUAUGCUGGGGGAAUUCUCCACAUUUAAAUUAGUAAGUUUUAUAAUAAAGUUUUACCUCCAUCGGUUAGAAACAAACAAACAAAAACAAACAAACAAACAAGCACACAGGGCUCUUCUGGCAGCAGCGUCCAGAUGAGACCAAUUAUUUCUUGUACAUGAAAUACUAACCCCCAAAUGAAUACUCUGUGCCCAUUGAUGUCCCCGUGUCAGCGACUAUCUUCGUCACUCAUUCAUGACUCACACUCAUCCCUGAUGCUGUCCAUUUCCAGCUGUCUCAGCUUCAUCAGGCUGCUGGCUGUCGGAGCAGGAGGCUGCGAGGGAGAUAGCUUACAUGGCCCUCAGUGUCAGUCAAACUCCUGUGGGGACGGGAGGCACAGGAGCAAACCCACAUGACACAGGAGCUUCAUCUUAAAGGAGCUUGUAGGAUUAAAAAUUAUUUUCGUUUUUAUAUUUUUAUGGAGCUGGGACAGAACCUAAGGCUUUGGGCAUGCUAAUGCUAGGCACAUGGGCUGUACGGUUGAGGUACUCCCUAGAGAAUUUUUUGCAAGAAAAUUUAAGCACCCAACAUCUUCAUUUUACCUUCAUUUUAGAACCUUACCUACUCUGGCAUUUAUUAAUUCAAUAA